This 889-nucleotide long non-coding RNA is filed under the name Macaca mulatta (Rhesus monkey). RNAcentral's name for it is "lncRNA (ENSMMUG00000062770.1)". Lineage: Eukaryota; Metazoa; Chordata; Mammalia; Primates; Cercopithecidae. The record is from RNAcentral.
AUGCGCUGUCAUUUUUUUCCAGAUGGCCUUCUUCAGUGCCCAGAGAGAGCUGGCUGGUCCUCCUUUGUACCCACCUCUGUUGUAUGCCUGAUGAAGAGGCAUUCACUUGAUUUGUUACAGGCCUGUUUCCUUCACAGAAUCACAAGAACAUACUGCCAAAACCCUUCGUCUGGUGUGGAAAGCAUGAAGGACACUGCCCUCAGCCCAAGGCCUCUGCUUAAAAAGUUUGAAAGCAUUGUCUGCCUGCCUCCAUCUCCUGAGUCCUGUCCCGUGGACCAGAAAAAGGUGAUGCUCACACCCUUAUGCCAUCUCGUGCUGUCUUUGUUCCAUCAGCAACUGCGUGUGGCUGUCUGUGGUCAACGUUUAUUGCUUUCUGAACUUUCCUGGAGGAUCAUCUGCCAUACUCCAGCAGAAGGGUGGAUUUGAAAAAAUAACAUGAGAUCAACACUGUGCCCCUUACCUUGAGUCAAGGCUGGAUAGUAAGUCGAAAGAUGACUCGAAAGGACCGUGCUUCUCCUGCUAUGACUUCUUUUCUGAGAUCAAGCAUCCCUGAAAAACCUGGCUUGAAAUUAUUCUGAGGUGCUGGACGCCACAACCUUCAUAGCAAAUGUGGAUGAAUUGCAUAGCUGAAGCCUACUGAUUAUACAAAAAUAAAUGGUUGUUAUCUCAGUUGAUCCAGAGAAGACAACCUACCGACAGGUCUCAGAUGGUAAUGGCUAUGCCUGCUUGGCCAGUCUCUGCUACUUUGUCUCUUUCUCAUCAGUAACUCUGAAGCCACUUGUGAGGUUCUCCUACUAUGCACUGUGAUUUGAGCAGAGGGGUGAGUGUAUUAGUUCAUAUUCAUGCUGCUGAUAAAGAUAUAUCUGAGACUGGGAAGAAAAAGAGGCUU